Sorex araneus (European shrew) is the source of this 61-nucleotide non-coding RNA. The record is from Rfam. NCBI's taxonomy places the organism in Eukaryota, Metazoa, Chordata, Mammalia, Eulipotyphla, Soricidae.
CUCAAUAAAACUUUUCUUAGGUUGGGGAGCAAAAGACACCUUUAGUUACCUGAAUGCACAG